AUGGACCUGCCUGUUUUCCACUGUGCUCCUCACCCCCUCCUGCACUGCAUCAUCCUGGAUCCACCCUGCCCAUGUUUGUGCCUGAGGCACGCUAAAGUAGUUCCCCGAGCAGCACAACUGAAGGAACUAGUUUUGCCAUGGAUCAUGUCUCAUGCCUGAGCACAACAUCCACCUGAAGCUUUUUUCCAUAGAUGAGAGAUUUUGCUGAUGUAUCUGGUAGCACCUCAGAAGACAAUCUGACAGACCAAGGAAGAGCUUGGAGUUUCCAGGCUUCAUGAUACCAAGACAGCUCACCGUAUGGACAGUACCAGAGCCAGAGUGUCUCUUUCUUAGUGUUUUAGCAUUUUUGAUAAAGUAGAAUAAGUUUUCCUUGUUGUGUAUUUAGACAGAAGUAAAGUUCAGGGAUCCAAGUGACAAAAUCCUUGUGUGUGUACUAAGUGUCUGAGUCCAAGUUGGUGUGAAUAUUGACUAUUACCUAAACAAAGGUCAAUGACAGAAAAUGAUUGAAAAAAAAGGUGAAGGAGGUAAAUAUAGCUUAACUAAAAUGUAUACAAUAUUAGAGUCACAAUGAAACAAAACUGUUGAAUGUAAACACCAUUUCAGGAUUAUAUUCAGCAUAUUCUAUUUUAGAAAUAGGUUUGAUUGGUUUCAUAUCAAAACCACUAUCUAGGCCUAAACGAAUGCUGAAAUUAAAUUUAUCCUGUAUUGGUUUGGUCUUAAUUUCCAUUAUAUUGCUUGAGGAGCAUAAUGCUAGUUUUAAUGAUUGAUA
This 769-nucleotide long non-coding RNA is filed under the name Anser brachyrhynchus (Pink-footed goose). Its description in RNAcentral is "lncRNA (ENSABRG00000014748.1)". Lineage: Eukaryota; Metazoa; Chordata; Aves; Anseriformes; Anatidae. The record is from RNAcentral.